Molecule: non-coding RNA, 862 nt
Organism: Lolium perenne
Lineage: Eukaryota; Viridiplantae; Streptophyta; Magnoliopsida; Poales; Poaceae
Source: RefSeq, a predicted model, not a curated record
GCUGAGGAUGGCGCCAUUGGCUUCACCAUAUUGUCUUAUCCUUGCUUACAAAUGUGGCAGAGGAACGUCAAUGGUCAUGGUGUUGCCAUAUGGCUGCCUUCGAAGACCAUUGACAUGCAUACAUUUCUAGGACUCCCUUCUCAGAUUGGGCCAGUGUUGGGAUGGUUGCUGGGGUAUGAUGAGGAUACUGAUGAAAUAUUUUUACUUGUGAGAGCCAAUGUCUAUGGGGUUCAACUAAAGUUGAUGCAGUCCAGGAAACUUUAUGAGUCCAAUGGUGUCAAUCCCUACUAUCCUUUCAAGAGUUUCUACACACCAGAGAUUCACGAAGGUGGCGAAGCUGACAUGUUGCACGAUCCAUAGGACGACUAUGUCUGGUUUGGUGUGCUAAUGUGCUGAAAUGGUCUGAAGAUGAAGGGAUGGCUGCUGCAGUUCUCGACGAGUCUAUUGCGGUCGGCAGUGUUAACAUGUUAUCUGCAUUCUUUUUUUUAUACUCUAGACUAAGCCUAUCCCGUGAAUACGUGAUGAUGUCUUUCUUGAAUAAUUUUUCGUACCUUGGGUAUCUGCACUCUUCAUCUAUUCUUUGUGGGCAACUUCUAUUUGGAAAAUUGUAUAGAUGGCAUGUGUAAGGCUUCUGGUGGUCUUAGACUUUGUAGUAUGAUUUUAUAAGCUUGUGUUCGUAGCUUCACGUUGGUUCUAACUUUGUUUUCUUAACCUUAAGACUCUGCAUGGUAGUACUUAGAUGAAAUCUUAUUUUGGUGAUAUCUUUUAUGUUAUUGAUGUUGCUUGAAUUUUCGUACGGAGCAAUUCUCGUAUGAUGAUGACACAUCUGGACUAAAAGAAUGCAUUUCUUUGAAGAUUUUAC